RNAcentral lists this ribosomal RNA (546 nucleotides) under Triticum aestivum (bread wheat). RNAcentral describes it as "partial small subunit ribosomal RNA". The record is from RNAcentral. Lineage: Eukaryota; Viridiplantae; Streptophyta; Magnoliopsida; Poales; Poaceae.
AUGACUUCUCCCUCCUUGCCUCCUCCUCCUCCUCCUCUUCUUCUUCCCACCCACACAGACACAGGCAACACAAGGUUUUUCCUCCCCUCUCAACUACCCAACACGCUUCUCGCCGAUUUCAUUUCACGACAUUUUCCUCCCGAUCUUCAUGCCAAAGCUUCUCGCCAUCGCCAUCUUGCCGUUUAUUUUGGUCGUAGCCAAGCACUGAAUCUUCAACGCGCUUGCCGUUUAUUUUGCAGAGCGGCGAGGGAGGAGAAGGAAGAGGAGCGGGAGAUGGCGGGCUGCGGUGAAGCCAAGACAUCAUCGGUUUCCAUGGAUGAAGAGGCAUGCGGCUUGGAGAAGAAGAAGUUUGGCGGGAUGGCGCCCAAGAAGCCUCUCAUAUCAAAGGACCAUGAGCGUGCCUACUUCGACUCCGCAGAUUGGGUCCUUGGCAAGCAAGCUGCAAACAGCAGCUCAACGGCUGCAGUCGAAUCGCUCAAGCCCAAGCUCAAGAGAACUCCUCAUCCCCAGCUUCCCCCUCGCAAGCCCACCUGUGCGUCUGGCUGA